RNAcentral lists this ribosomal RNA (583 nucleotides) under uncultured bacterium. RNAcentral's name for it is "bacterial SSU rRNA". It matches the Rfam family "Bacterial small subunit ribosomal RNA", at positions 55 to 653 of the family's 1533-position model. The record is from RNAcentral.
AUGCAGUCGAACGAGAGAAGAGAAGCUUGCUUUUCUGAUCUAGUGGCGGACGGGUGAGUAACACGUGAGCAAUCUGCCUUUCAGAGGGGGAUACCGAUUGGAAACGAUCGUUAAUACCGCAUAAUAUAAUUGAACCGCAUGAUUUGAUUAUCAAAGAUUUAUCGCUGAAAGAUGAGCUCGCGUCUGAUUAGCUAGUUGGUAAGGUAACGGCUUACCAAGGCGACGAUCAGUAGCCGGACUGAGAGGUUGAUCGGCCACAUUGGGACUGAGACACGGCCCAGACUCCUACGGGAGGCAGCAGUGGGGAAUAUUGCACAAUGGAGGAAACUCUGAUGCAGCGAUGCCGCGUGAGGGAAGAAGGUUUUAGGAUUGUAAACCUCUGUCUUCAGGGACGAAAAAAGACGGUACCUGAGGAGGAAGCUCCGGCUAACUACGUGCCAGCAGCCGCGGUAAUACGUAGGGAGCGAGCGUUGUCCGGAAUUACUGGGUGUAAAGGGAGCGUAGGCGGGAUCGCAAGUCAGAUGUGAAAACUAUGGGCUUAACCCAUAAACUGCAUUUGAAACUGUGGUUCUUGAGUGAAGUA